GCGCCCGUAGCUCAGGUGGAAGAGCGCUUCCGUCCUAAGGAAGGCGUCGGGGGUUCGAGUCCUCCCGGGCGCACCC
This 76-nucleotide transfer RNA is filed under the name Bacillota bacterium. RNAcentral's name for it is "Firmicutes bacterium tRNA-Arg". It matches the Rfam family "tRNA". From Rfam's summary of the family: Transfer RNA (tRNA) molecules are approximately 80 nucleotides in length. RNAcentral also lists the same sequence under 1 other name. Lineage: Bacteria; Bacillati; Bacillota. The record is from RNAcentral.